UUAAACAGAAUUUGCAACAGCCCAGGCAUUCCAUUCCCAUUAGGAGCUGUUUUGCAAAGAAAUGAAGACGGUAGCCACCAAUACAGGCAGUCUGAAAGAGCAGGACAGUUAAGACUCACAUAUCAGAGCUUUGUAGGCCAACCUCAGAAUCAUGGCUGCACUACAGCUGGAUCCCUGAGAACUUCCACACAUGCUGUGGGCAGACUCCCUUUGAGCUUCCAGAGUCACAGAGGGCUGAGGGGCAAUUUUCAGCGUCACUACUUAAAAGCUGAGAGCCUGGGUUUGAGUCACUCUCGUCUCCGUUGAAUAGAGUUAUAAGAGGAGCUGGGCAUGCAGCAAUGGCACAGGAAAUGCAGGUUGUCGUUUGACCCCGGGGAAACGCCAAAGCCAGAAACAGCAAAGCUGCUUUUCUGAAGACUCAUUCCCCACCCCCACCCUGCCCUCGGAGCUGCCAGACAGGAGGACAUAGGCUCUUCCCCUCCUACCCCAGAGAAAGCCUUCUCUUCCAGGAUUUCCUGAAAGGUCACAUCCACCUGUGGCCACGCCCAACAGGCGUGGUCAAUGCUACAGGUGCUGAGGAAUAUAUUACUACACUUUUGGUUUGCUGGGCUUUCAGAGAGAUGGAGAGACUCACUGCAACCAGAGGGAAGCCACAUAUCGAAGAGGCUGUUGUGGUCAUUCUGCAGAGAAGUCUAAACAGUAGAAAUGCUGAGGCAGGCAGGAUGGACAUGCUACGGGAGAAGCAGGAUUGAGACUCUUCCCUAAGCUUCUGACACUAAAUGGAUGGUGGUGCCACUAGCUGCGAUAGAUUCUGGACCAGGCUUAAAGGGGACUGCAAAGGACAGACUAGAAUCUGGUAGAAUCUGACCUCUUGGUGGGCUUUGCUGGGAUAGUGAAAGCCACCCAGUUCAAGCACACAGACUUCAGAGGCACCCAGCUGAUGACUGAAGGAGGAAGCUUCAAGAAGGAAAUGGUGGUCAAGAUCUCUCACCAGCUGGGUGUUGGUGGCGCACGCCUUUAAUCCCAGCACUCUGGAGGCAGAGGCAGGAGGAUCUCUGUGAGUUCGAGGCCAGUCUGGUCUACAGAGUGACUUCCAGGUCCGGCUCCGAAGCUACACAGAGAAACCAUGUCUCGGAAAAAAAACAAAAAACAAAAGGAAAAAAAAAAAAAGAGUGUCUCACGAAAUGUAGGACCCAAAAGGAGUCCGCCAUGUUUGACAUCGAGAGGGGCCUUGUAUCUUCAACCUGGGCAGUACCAUGAGUGGAAGAGGGAGACAGGCUUUCAAAGCAAGCUUCAUGCUGUUCCUGUAAUGCUGCAUGCUGCAUCUGUGGGAUAAACAGAUAGCUUGGAGGAGAGUAUGGCCUACGCUGGGAAAAAAAAGGAGACGGUCCAAGCACAUCUUUUUGGAUCUUACAGUUUAUUAAAUCCUUCUCAGAUUUACCAAGCUUAAAGAUGAACAGUAAGACAAGUUAAGCUCACAUGAAAGACAGCUGAUAUACAUUAGUGGGUGAGUUUCAGAUGUUCCAUUAGAACGAAACACGCCUUUGUGGAAAUUAAUCCCAGUUAAUGGUUGAGGUGCCCUUGUAUGAGCAGUUUGCGUGGUUUUGACAUCUACUCUUUGAGGUAGGUCGUUACUCACAUAUACGACACAGGCAAGUUUAGGAGCACAGCUGGGAGUCGGGGAGUUCAUUGAAGAUGGGAUUGGAGAAGAUGCCCACUAUUUUUUUUUCUUUUUUUAACUUUGUCGAUUACUGAUCAGGAGCCAGGUCUUACUUCACACAAGAAAACACCUUUUGUAAAUACCAGCCGAAAUAAAAGUUCAGGCUUAUAUUGAAAACCGUGGCCGAUUAAUAUUCAAAACACCCAUUUUCCAAGAUUUAAGUUGAAGAGCACUGAAGAUACCAUGCAAGACCUUAGCCACUGUCGCUUUGGUUUUCUUGAUACAUUGACUUUUUUUUUCAUCAUGUAACAGUAAUGAGUUCACGUACUACCUAGAAACAAGUCUAAUAAGAGUUUAGUAAAGCACGCCCACUCAAUUUCUUAACCAUGAAGAAUGUUAUUUGGGCAAAUAAGAAAUAGACGCCAAAUAAAUGGAGACAGCUUUGCCAAUAAAUAUAUGGUGUUCCA
This is a long non-coding RNA of Mesocricetus auratus (golden hamster), 2127 nucleotides long. RefSeq lists it as uncharacterized. The transcript is spliced from 3 exons. The record is from RefSeq and is a predicted model, not a curated record. NCBI's taxonomy places the organism in Eukaryota, Metazoa, Chordata, Mammalia, Rodentia, Cricetidae.